This 76-nucleotide transfer RNA is filed under the name Morganella psychrotolerans. RNAcentral describes it as "tRNA-Ile". It matches the Rfam family "tRNA". Rfam says of the family: Transfer RNA (tRNA) molecules are approximately 80 nucleotides in length. The record is from RNAcentral. Lineage: Bacteria; Pseudomonadati; Pseudomonadota; Gammaproteobacteria; Enterobacterales; Morganellaceae. RNAcentral also lists the same sequence under 1 other name.
GGCCCCUUAGCUCAGUGGUUAGAGCAGGCGACUCAUAAUCGCUUGGUCACUGGUUCAAACCCAGUAGGGGCCACCA